Herpailurus yagouaroundi (jaguarundi) is the source of this 2188-nucleotide long non-coding RNA. RefSeq lists it as uncharacterized. The transcript is spliced from 4 exons. The record is from RefSeq and is a predicted model, not a curated record. NCBI's taxonomy places the organism in Eukaryota, Metazoa, Chordata, Mammalia, Carnivora, Felidae.
CUUUGUCCCAUUGUGACUGGACCUUUUUUUUUUUCUUUCUCUUUUUAGGGUGUCCCAGGAAAUACACUGCUGUGUUCUUUUGAAAUAAAUGAUGCUAACAUCUCAUUUUUGUGUGGUGAUUGACAGUGUUUAAGGCAGAUGUGUUUCCACGGUUGAAAUUUAUCCUUCAACCAGCUGUUUGAGGUAAGUAUGGUAUGGUCUUUAUUUGAGAGAUGGGGAAACUGAGGCCCCGAGAGCAAUGUCCUAGGCCAGUGUUGUAUCAGUGAGUAAUUAUUGACUGAGACCAAUCAGGACUUCUUCCCACAUCAUGCUGUGGUGUUCGUCUAUCCUCCUUUCUCAAAGAUGCUGCUCUCCUUGACAAAAUUAGUUAAUUAAUCCGGUCCUUUAUGCAUAUAGAGUGUCUGCUACAUGCCAUGUAUUAGUAAAGCAUCAAAUACAACAUGCAACCACCCUGUCCUCGUGGUACUGAAAUCCUGAGAGGUGAUUGGUACAUGCAUGUGAAAUUUCAGGUGCAGGUAAGAACACUGGCGAAAAGUUCAGCAGGGUCGGAGGUGGGGGAGAGCCCCUGUUUUAUGCAGGGUGAGCCGAGAAAGCCUGCCAAGAAGUCGCCGUGGGAUCAGAGCCCGAGAGAAGUGAGGAAGCCCCUGGGGUGGUUCUGGGGCACAUGCCGGACGACAGCACAGACCACAGUACGUGCCCCUCAGCUCUCCAAGAUGGGCUGAAGCCAGAUGACAGAGCAUGAGACCCGAGGAGGAACGGCCUGGGGGUCGACGGCACACCAAGCAGAAGUGGACAAUAUCUGGUCCCAGCUCACGCCUUGGCUUAAUCGCAACCACAUGAGCAAACUCAGGGCUGCACAGCACAGUUGUAAUUGGAAUAGAGUGUCCUCUGGGAGACUGUUGGGGAUGAAGCUGUUCACCGCAUGAGACGACGCACUGCUGCAGAUAUAAUCCGUUUACCGACAAUCGUAACGGUGGCUAACGUUUACUGUGUGCCUAUUGUGCCCCCGGCACAGCGUUCGAUACCCUGGGAGGAUUACCUCAUUAGUUCUCAUAACACGUCGCACAGAGUUUCCACCUUGCCUGCAUCUUGGAAUGACCUGGGAAAGUUUUACUACUGCAGGCACCUGGUCCCAGAGCUACUAAUUUAACUCAUCUGAGAUGUGGUCCACUCAUAAGCUCUUUCCAUUGGGAGCCGGAUUCUCUUUUCCUGCCCUUUGAAUCUGAGGUGGCCAUGCAGCCUGCCUUAAUCAAUAGAAUCCUGCAGAAGAAAUGCUGUGCCAGUUCUGAGCCUGAGCCUUGCAGGCUUCUGCUUGCUAUCCUGGAACCCCACCAUCACCAUGUGAAUGACCCUGGUCUGCCCUCCUGGAGGAUCAUAGCUGAGGCCAUCCCAGACCAACCAACUCGGCCCACAAACUCACGAGGAAGCCUGGCUGAGAUCAGAGCCCGGGCCAGACCCACAGGACCUUUCAGUUGAUCUACAGACUUGUGGGCAAUGAUAAAUGGUGGUUAUUUUAAGCCACUAACUUUGGGUUGAUUUGUUAUGCAACAGUAGGUAGCUGAUACACUUCAAUAUAAUUUCCUAUUUCUCUUUGAGCCUAAAUCGGGUUCUCCCUUUAUCCACUCUCAUAGCACCUUAUACUUGUCAACUGUAUAAUGGAUGACAAUGCUUAUCAGAACUAAAAAUUGUGUAAAUAAUACUUUUUUCUCUCUCUGAUUAGAGUUUAAGCCCCAUGAGAUCAGAGACCACAUUUGAUUUGCUCCCUGAAAUAUUCCUACCAUCUGGCAUUAUUUUAUACACGGUAUAUGCUACACUUGAUCUUAACCAAGAGGCCGAGAAGCGAUACACAUGGUAAAUGCUAAAUAAAUACUUGUCAGAAGACAAACGCAAGGAUGAAUUCAUAUGCUCACUAAACAUGUCCUAAGUACUUUCUCCAUUUUGGGUACCAUGCAAGAUGUUAAAGAUAUCAGAAUGAAUAAGGCAUAGUCUUUGUUCUUAAGGAAAUUCACGGUUUAAAAGCUGGGACAUGAACAUGUAAAUAAAAAUUGUAGGCCACGUUAAUGAGUGUAAUUGAGGGUGUUUAGCGUGUUGAUAAGAGCAGGGUAGAUCAGUGGAUUGAAUAAAUCUGGAGAAAAGAAGUUCCUGGAAAAUGGUUUAUGGAGUAAAUAUUCGAAAUGAUGAUUCUACA